AACGAACGCUGGCGGCAUGCCUAACACAUGCAAGUCGAACGGGAUCCUAGCUUGCUAGGUGAGAGUGGCGGACGGGUGAGUAACACGUGGGAAUCUGCCUUUUGGUUCGGGAUAACCACGGGAAACUGCGGCUAAUACCGAAUGCCCUCGAGAGAGGAAAGAUUUAUCGCCAGAAGGGGAGCCCGCGUCCGAUUAGGUAGUUGGUGGGGUAAAGGCCUACCAAGCCGACGAUCGGUAGCUGGUCUGAGAGGAUGAUCAGCCACACUGGGACUGAGAUACGGCCCAGACUCCUACGGGAGGCAGCAGUGGGGAAUAUUGGACAAUGGGGGCAACCCUGAUCCAGCAAUGCCGCGUGAGUGAUGAAGGCCUUAGGUUGUAAAGCUCGUAAGCAGGAGAAGAAUACAUGACGGUAUCCUGUGUAAGCCCCGGCUAACUCCGUGCCAGCAGCCGCGGUAAU
Molecule: ribosomal RNA, 457 nt
Filed under: uncultured bacterium
Lineage: Bacteria
Description: bacterial SSU rRNA
Rfam family: Bacterial small subunit ribosomal RNA
Source: RNAcentral